GAGCGCGGCCCCGGGCCCAUAGACUGAGGGGGAAUCAAGUGGCUGAUCAGAGGGGGAUUGCAGGGAUUUUAUUUUCUCUAUGCACAGAAGCCCCAAGCCAACAACCUGGAGAACCUGAACGUCCUAGGCAACAACCUGGUAAACCUCAGGGACCUCGAUUUCAUCGAUUUCAUGGAUUUCGUCGACCUCAGGGACCGCCUAGACAAUCUCGUGGACCUGAGGGCCAAAAACGACGUGGAAGAGGUCAGAAAAGGGUCCCAAACCCUCAGGAAAGGAGGAGAAAUGGCCCAUUUCCCAUUAGAGGGUAUCUUCAUGAUCACGGAAAUGGGGCUGAAUAAGAAGAUAGAUAUGAGGCUGGCAUCAUGAAAAUUCUUCAGUAACCUAGGAUGAUAGGGAAGUGAAAACAUCUUGACUCCCCUCAUUCCUGUAUUUAAAACACAAAUAAACUAAUCAGCAUCCAAGCUUUGCUUCGUCUU
Vombatus ursinus (common wombat) is the source of this 476-nucleotide long non-coding RNA. Lineage: Eukaryota; Metazoa; Chordata; Mammalia; Diprotodontia; Vombatidae. The record is from Ensembl.